GAUGAACGCUAGCGGCAGGCUUAAUACAUGCAAGUCGAGGGGCAGCACGAAUAGCAAUAUUUGGUGGCGACCGGCAAACGGGUGCGGAACACGUACAGAACCUUCCUUCGAGUGGGGAAUAGCCCGAAGAAAUUCGGAUUAAUACCCCAUAGUAUUAUGAAGUGGCAUCACUUUAUAAUUAAAGAUUUAUUGCUUGAAGAUGGCUGUGCGCCUGAUUAGGUAGUUGGCGGGGUAACGGCCCACCAAGCCUGCGAUCAGUAACUGGUGUGAGAGCACGACCAGUCACACGGGCACUGAGACACGGGCCCCGACUCCUACGGGAGGCAGCAGUAAGGAAUAUUGGUCAAUGGACGCAAGUCUGAACCAGCCAUGCCGCGUGGAGGAUGAAGGUCCUCUGGAUUGUAAAC
This 407-nucleotide ribosomal RNA is filed under the name uncultured bacterium. RNAcentral's name for it is "bacterial SSU rRNA". It matches the Rfam family "Bacterial small subunit ribosomal RNA", at positions 28 to 430 of the family's 1533-position model. The record is from RNAcentral.